GCACCAGUACUUCAGCAGAAACCAUGCAAUGGGCAGUAGCAGAGCUCAUUAAUCACCCUACUGUUUACAAGAUUGCCAGAGAUGAAAUAGAGUCAGUUGUUGGAAGAAGUAGACUAGUUGAGGAAACAGAUAUCCCAAGCCUCCAUUAUCUGCAAGCAAUUGUGAAGGAAACAUUAAGAUUACAUCCAAAUUCUGCCUUAAUACCCAGAGUCUGCCAUCAAGGCUGUAAAAUCAAUGGCUUUGAUAUACCUGCACGUACUCCAGUAGCAGUCAAUGUCUAUUCCAUAGCCAGAGAUCCAGCAAUAUGGGAAAAUCCAAACGAGUUCUGCCCUGAGAGAUUCCUAGUUUCCUCUAAGACGGAAACCAAGGGACAGAAUUUUGAC
This 383-nucleotide long non-coding RNA is filed under the name Theobroma cacao (cacao). Its description in RNAcentral is "long non-coding RNA (TCAC_LNC003729)". Lineage: Eukaryota; Viridiplantae; Streptophyta; Magnoliopsida; Malvales; Malvaceae. The record is from RNAcentral.